RNAcentral lists this ribosomal RNA (821 nucleotides) under uncultured rumen protozoa. Its description in RNAcentral is "bacterial SSU rRNA". It matches the Rfam family "Eukaryotic small subunit ribosomal RNA", at positions 919 to 1831 of the family's 1831-position model. The record is from RNAcentral.
UCUGGAUUUGUAAGGCUAACGUUGCGGAGCAUUGCCAGGAUGUUUCAUGAUUCAAGGACGGAAGGAUAGGGGAUCCAAGGCAAUCCAGAACCGUUGGUAGUCCUGUCUAUAACUAGGCCGACUAGGGAUUGGAGUGGGCUCAACACCCAUUUCAGUACCUAUGAGGAAUCCAAGGUUUUUGGGUUCUGGGGGAGUAUGGUCGCAAGACUGAACCUGGAGGAGGUUGACGGAAGGGCACCACCAGGAGUGGAGCCUGCGGCUUAAUUUGACUCAACACGGGGAAACUUACCAGGUCCAGCAUAGUAAGGAUUGACAGGUUGGGUGGGUCUGGUCUUGAUUCUGUUGGUCUGGUCCAUGGCCGGUUUUAGUUGGUGGAGUGAUUUGUCUGGUUGAUUCCGAUAACGAACGAGACCUUAACCUGCUAACUAGAUUCGAUCAACUUUGGUCGUUAUCUUCUUAGAGGGACUAUGUAACAUAAAUACUUGGAAGUUGAGGCAAUAACAGGUCUGUGAUGCCCUUAUAUGUCCUGGGCUGCACGCGUGCUACACUGAUGCAUACAACAAGUGCCUAGCUAGACAUAGUAUGGCAAUCUGGAAUAUGCAUCGUGAUGGGGAUAGAUCUUGCAAUUAUAGAUCUUGAACGAGGAAUUCCUAGUAAGUGCAAGUCAUCGGCGGGGAGAUAAAUUAUGUCCCUGCCCUUUGUACACACCGCCCGUCGCUCCUACCGAUACCGGGUGAUCCGGUGAACCUCUGGACCUAAUGGGAAGAUAAGUAAACCUAUCUCCAGAGGAAGGAGAUUUUUGCAAGUAAUCUAGAUGCACC